GAUGAAGAACGUAGCGAAAUGCGAUAAGUAAUGUGAAUUGCAGUAUUCAGUGAAUCAUCGAAUCUUUGAACGCACCUUGCGCCCUUUGGCCAUUCCGAAGGGCAUGCCUGUUUGAGUAUCAUGAACACCUCAACUCUUUAUGGUUUUCCAUGAUGAGCUUGGACUCUGGGGGUUUUGCUGGCUCACAGUCGGCUCCUCUAAAAUGAAUCAGCUUACCAGUGUUUGGUGGGUAUCAUGGGUGUGAUAACUAUCUACGCUUGUGGUUUUUCCACCAGGUAACCUUCAGCAGUGGAGGUUCGCUGGAGCUCAUAGAUGUCUCUCCUCAGUGAGGACAGCCCUUUGAAUGUUUGAUCUCAAAUCAGGUAGGACUACCCGCUGAACUUAAGCAUAUCAAUAAGCGGAGGA
This 405-nucleotide unclassified non-coding RNA is filed under the name soil metagenome. Its description in RNAcentral is "partial contains 5.8S ribosomal RNA, internal transcribed spacer 2, and large subunit ribosomal RNA". The stretch from base 1 to 121 matches the Rfam family "5.8S ribosomal RNA", at positions 35 to 154 of the family's 154-position model. The record is from RNAcentral.